GCGUAACCAACCUCGCCCCAUGCUCCAGAAUAGCUCUUGGAAACGGGUGGUAAUGCUGGAUGCUCCAACUUGACGCAUGUCUUGUUGGGAAAGUGUUUAGUGGCAUGGGAUGGGGUCGCGUCCUAUCAGCUUGUAGGCGGGGUAAUGGCCCACCUAGGCUUCGACGGGUAGCCGGCCUGAGAGGGCGGACGGCCACAUUGGGACUGAGAUACGGCCCAGACUCCUACGGGAGGCAGCAGC
This 240-nucleotide ribosomal RNA is filed under the name uncultured Gardnerella sp. Its description in RNAcentral is "partial 16S ribosomal RNA". It matches the Rfam family "Bacterial small subunit ribosomal RNA", at positions 115 to 355 of the family's 1533-position model. The record is from RNAcentral. Lineage: Bacteria; Bacillati; Actinomycetota; Actinomycetes; Bifidobacteriales; Bifidobacteriaceae.